This 28-nucleotide non-coding RNA is filed under the name Mus musculus (house mouse). The record is from RNAcentral. Lineage: Eukaryota; Metazoa; Chordata; Mammalia; Rodentia; Muridae.
AAAUAAGGCAACGCUUAACUGAGAUGAA